Molecule: ribosomal RNA, 2903 nt
Filed under: Clostridium perfringens
Lineage: Bacteria; Bacillati; Bacillota; Clostridia; Eubacteriales; Clostridiaceae
Description: 23S ribosomal RNA
Rfam family: Bacterial large subunit ribosomal RNA
Source: RNAcentral
UCAAGCUACAAAGGGCGCAUGGUGAAUGCCUUGGCAUCAGGAGCCGAUGAAGGACGUGAUAAGCUGCGAUAAGCUUCGGGUAGGCGCACAUAGCCUGAGAUCCGAAGAUCUCCGAAUGAGGAAACUCACAUGGGAAACCCCAUGUAUCAUUAAGUGAAUACAUAGCUUAAUGAAGGUAACCCAGGGAACUGAAACAUCUAAGUACCUGGAGGAAGAGAAAGAAAAAUCGAUUUUCUUAGUAGCGGCGAGCGAAAGGGAAAGAGCCCAAACCGGAAACUUGUUUCCGGGGUUGUGGACAUAACAUAAAAGUGGAGGCUAUUGUAACUGAAGAGAACUGGAAAGUUCCACCGUAGAAGGUAAUAGUCCUGUAAGUGAAACGAGAAGACCACGAGUUAUGAUCCAGAGUACCACGAGACACGUGAAACCUUGUGGGAAGCAGGGAGGACCACCUCCCAAGGCUAAAUACUACCUGAUGACCGAUAGUGAAGCAGUACCGUGAGGGAAAGGUGAAAAGAACCCCGGGAGGGGAGUGAAAUAGAACCUGAAACCGUGUGCCUACAACCGCUCAGAGCCCCUUAUGAGGGUGAUGAGGUGCUUUUUGUAGAACGAGUCAACGAGUUACGGUAUGUAGCAAGGUUAAGUACUUAAGGUACGGAGCCGAAGGGAAACCGAGUCUGAAUAGGGCGACUAGUUGCAUGCCGUAGACCCGAAACCGGGUGACCUAUCCAUGGCCAGGUUGAAGCGAGGGUAAAACCUCGUGGAGGACCGAACCACGUUGCUGUUGAAAAAGCAUGGGAUGAGCUGUGGAUAGCGGAGAAAUUCCAAUCGAACCCGGAGAUAGCUGGUUCUCUCCGAAAUAGCUUUAGGGCUAGCGUCGAGUAUGAGUAGUGGAGGUAGAGCACUGAAUGGGCUAGGGGGCAUAGCGCUUACCGAACCUUAUCAAACUCCGAAUGCCACAUACUUUGAGCUCGGCAGUCAGACUACGAAUGAUAAGAUCCGUGGUCAAAAGGGAAACAGCCCAGAUCGUCAGCUAAGGUCCCAAAGUGUAAGUUAAGUGGGAAAGGAUGUGAGAUUUCUAAGACAACUAGGAUGUUGGCUUAGAAGCAGCCAUUCAUUAAAAGAGUGCGUAAUAGCUCACUAGUCGAGAGAUCUUGCGCCGAAAAUGUAACGGGGCUAAACUUACCACCGAAGCUACGGGCUUGAACUUAGUUCAAGCGGUAGGAGAGCGUCGUAACCGGGCUGAAGUCGUACCGUAAGGAGCGGUGGACUGGUUACGAGUGAGAAUGUUGGCAUCAGUAGCGAGAUGUGGGUGAGAAUCCCACAGGCCGAAAACCUAAGGUUUCCUCAGGAAGGUUCGUCCGCUGAGGGUUAGUCGGGACCUAAGCCGAGGCCGAAAGGCGUAGGUGAUGGACAACUGGUUGAUAUUCCAGUACCACUACCAUCGUUAUUAUCGAUGGCGUGACGCAGGAGGAUAGUGUGUGCUAGCUAUUGGAUGCUAGUCUAAGCGUUUAGGCAGUGAGAGUAGGCAAAUCCGCUCUCAUAAUGCUGAGGCGUGAUGGGGAAGGUUCUACGGAACCGGAGUACAUGAUUCCACGCUGCCAAGAAAAGCGUCUAGAGAGAGAAGUAGUGCCCGUACCGCAAACCGACACAGGUAGGUGAGGAGAGAAUCCUAAGGCCGGCGGAAGAAUUACAGUUAAGGAACUCGGCAAAUUGACCCCGUAAGUUCGCGAGAAGGGGUGCCUACGAGAGUAGGCCGCAGAGAAUAGGCCCAAGCAACUGUUUAGCAAAAACACAGGUCUCUGCUAAAGCGUAAGCUGAUGUAUAGGGGCUGACGCCUGCCCGGUGCUGGAAGGUUAAGGGGAACACUUAGCGCAAGCGAAGGUGUGAACUUAAGCCCCAGUAAACGGCGGCCGUAACUAUAACGGUCCUAAGGUAGCGAAAUUCCUUGUCAGGUAAGUUCUGACCCGCACGAAUGGCGUAAUGACUUGGGCACUGUCUCAACUGUAAAUCCGGCGAAGUUGUAGUGCGAGUGAAGAUGCUCGCUACCCGCGAUUGGACGGAAAGACCCCGUAGAGCUUUACUGUAGCUUAGCAUUGAGUUUUGGUAUUGUCUGUACAGGAUAGGUGGGAGACUAGGAAACCAGGGCGUCAGCCUUGGUGGAGUCAACCUUGGGAUACCACCCUGACAGUACUGAAAUUCUAACUGGCGGCCAUGAAUCUGGUCACAGGACAUUGUUAGGUGGGCAGUUUGACUGGGGCGGUCGCCUCCUAAAAAGUAACGGAGGCGCCCAAAGGUUCCCUCAGAACGGUCGGAAAUCGUUCGAAGAGUGCAAAGGCAGAAGGGAGCCUGACUGCGACACCCACAAGUGGAGCAGGGACGAAAGUCGGGCUUAGUGAUCCGGUGGUACCUCGUGGGAGGGCCAUCGCUCAACGGAUAAAAGCUACCUCGGGGAUAACAGGCUGAUCUCCCCCAAGAGUCCACAUCGACGGGGAGGUUUGGCACCUCGAUGUCGGCUCGUCGCAUCCUGGGGCUGAAGUAGGUCCCAAGGGUUGGGCUGUUCGCCCAUUAAAGCGGCACGCGAGCUGGGUUCAGAACGUCGUGAGACAGUUCGGUCCCUAUCCGUCGCGGGCGUAGGAAAUUUGAGAGGAGCUGUCCUUAGUACGAGAGGACCGGGAUGGACUGACCUCUGGUGUACCAGUUGUUCCGCCAGGAGCACAGCUGGGUAGCUAAGUCGGGAAUGGAUAAACGCUGAAAGCAUCUAAGCGUGAAGCCAACCUCAAGAUGAGAUUUCCCAUAGCAUAAGCUAGUAAGAUCCCUUGAAGAACACAAGGUUGAUAGGUCGGGGGUGUAAGCAUGGUAACAUGUUCAGCUGACCGAUACUAAUAGAUCGAGGGCUUGACCAA